This is a long non-coding RNA of Girardinichthys multiradiatus, 1689 nucleotides long. RefSeq lists it as uncharacterized. The transcript has 4 exons. The record is from RefSeq and is a predicted model, not a curated record. NCBI's taxonomy places the organism in Eukaryota, Metazoa, Chordata, Actinopteri, Cyprinodontiformes, Goodeidae.
UGAACCCUGAAGGCAUCUGUGUCCGGAUUCGGGAACAAAUGCUGAAAAUUCCAGCCAAUCGUGCUUUUCUAAAUGUGACCUACGUGUGACGUGAAUGCGUUGGACUCAGAACAACGGCCAUGAUUGGCUGAAUAGUCCACUGCGCCCGCCCAUGAUUGAUGAAAAGAAAAAAAGAAAAGAAGAAGAAGCAGAGCCCGACAUUGUGGGGCUGCAGAUGUUGAUAAAUCCAUUCCGUACUGACGCCACAAAGCUGCGAGUGUCUGUUAGACGCUAUUCAACACAUCAACAGACUUGUUAUUUUGGUUAUGACGAGUGUACGAUAAUUUCCCUCAAAAUACGAUAAUUUUAUGUCUCUAGUACGAUAAUCCUACAUUUCUCACCUGGCAACACUGCAAUGAACUGCUUGGUUGAGAAACUCGUUUUGGAGUUUUUCCUUGAAGUUAAUACGCGUCCAUAAAAAAGAAUUAGAUUUGAGUUAGCGCUACAUAAAGUCGCUGGAUAGAAACAAGUUAACAAGAACCGUUAACUGGGCAAAAUCCUAAAUAUUAAUUAUGUUAGGAUAAGCAUCUUCACGAACUGUAACCACAAUCCUCUUUAAAUCGUAGGGAAAUGUUUAGUCUUUCUUUCCUGUCUCGAAUCCAUAUGACCGAACAUGGAUAUGUUGGACACUAACAGCUGCCGAGCAGAUACAACAAGCCGACCUUCAAGAGAAACCCUGAAGGAAGAGUUAAAGCGUGGAACCAUGCUGUGACUGAUUGUCGGUGGAGUGCGACGUGUUUUUAACUGGGUAGCCUCCUGCUGUUGCUCCUCUGGGAAGGAUGGGACAGUUUCAGACUGCCGGUGUAAAGACAGUGUGGACGGUCAACAGUGAUGCAAAACCCUCCUAUCAGACUCCUCCAUAAUGGACUCCACUGUAUCUACUGCUGUUAGGUUAAUUCAUGUUUACCCCUGCUUUACUUAAACACUGGCUUGUACUGAACUUGUUACAAUGACGACUUGUCCAAAAAGUCCUUUUGAGGAAGCUGGACAAUAUCUGACAGCUGACAGGUAUAAAGCACUCAAUCCACAAUAACCUUAGUACAUAUGGUAAAAAUGUAACUUUUGAAGCCCAAUAUGCUGACUCAUAAACUGAUGAAAAUGCUGCGGAUCCUUUUAUUGUCUCGUUAAUGGCGCCUUUGUAACAGUUUCUCAGAGCAUCAUGUUUCCGGUCAUAUAACUGACUUUUCCUGGUUGUUUUGUCGCCAUCGUGUGGAUGUAAUAAGUAACUAUAGGUGGUAUGCCAAAAAAAAAAAAUAGCAGAGGAAGAGUGCAGCGAAGUGGAACCAGAGAAUCCAGCCAUCGAUAACUUUAGAUGGCCGGAUUAAAUACAUAAUGCACAUCCCUUGUCAUUCGCAUCAUGAUUUUUUUUUUUAAGUUGACUCAAUAAAUAAUUUCUAUUUUCUGCUAUUUAAAUUAGCAUUCGUUUUAACUCAUGGAGGCUGGCUGGGCAGCUGAGAGUGGAGUUGAUGAAUCCCAGACUUAUCAAACUUUGUUCAGAAGCUGUUAUAAAUCCUAUUUUUCCUCAUCAGAUAGUAGAACGUUCUUCAUCUGUAAAAUGACUUAGUUUGAUAUAAAUGCGCAGCUUUCCAAAACCGUUAAGCUAUUUUUUACUGGGGUUUAUGUGACAAGGUGGGAGAAACCUAAGAGAUU